AACGAACGCUGGCGGCAUGCCUAACACAUGCAAGUCGAACGAGACCUUCGGGUCUAGUGGCGCACGGGUGCGUAACGCGUGAGAACCUGCCCUUAGGUUCGGAAUAACUCCCCGAAAGGGGUGCUAAUACCGGAUAAUGUCUUCGGACCAAAGAUUUAUCGCCUUUGGAUGGGCCCGCGUUGGAUUAGCUAGUUGGUAGGGUAAAAGCCUACCAAGGCGACGAUCCAUAGCUGGUCUGAGAGGAUGAUCAGCCACACUGGGACUGAGACACGGCCCAGACUCCUACGGGAGGCAGCAGUGGGGAAUAUUGGACAAUGGGCGAAAGCCUGAUCCAGCAAUGCCGCGUGAGUGAUGAAGGCCUUAGGGUUGUAAAGCUCUUUUACCCGGGAUGAUAAUGACAGUGCCGGGAGAAUAAGCUCCGGCUAACUCCGUG
This 433-nucleotide ribosomal RNA is filed under the name uncultured bacterium. RNAcentral describes it as "partial 16S ribosomal RNA". It matches the Rfam family "Bacterial small subunit ribosomal RNA", at positions 29 to 507 of the family's 1533-position model. The record is from RNAcentral.